GAUAAAAAAAACAAAAAUAAAAGGAAUUAAAAUGAAUAAAAAUCAAGUACGAAAAUGCGGGGGGAAAUAAAAUGAACGCAUUCAAAUAAUAUGUGAGAAAUAAAGUUCUGUGGAACAGACAGUCGCGAAUCAAAUCUCGUAGUAAAGAGUACCCGGAUGAAAAGGCUCAGACAGAUCAAAAUGCGACCUCCCAAAGACGUG
RNAcentral lists this long non-coding RNA (201 nucleotides) under Lathyrus oleraceus (garden pea). RNAcentral describes it as "Pisum sativum (pea) long non-coding RNA (PSAT_LNC014932)". Lineage: Eukaryota; Viridiplantae; Streptophyta; Magnoliopsida; Fabales; Fabaceae. The record is from RNAcentral.